RNAcentral lists this long non-coding RNA (1132 nucleotides) under Mus musculus (house mouse). Its description in RNAcentral is "long non-coding RNA chr3:51626567-51627699". Lineage: Eukaryota; Metazoa; Chordata; Mammalia; Rodentia; Muridae. The record is from RNAcentral.
UCUGGGCAGCCACCUGGGACCAAGUGGAUAUCUUAGAACUGUGCAGAACUGGCCUCGUCCCUCACUGGCUAUGGCCUUCUGGAGAGCUGGCCCCAUCUCUCACCCAGAGCAACACUCCGGAGAGCAGACCCUGAGUUUCAGGGGAGUCUCACGGAGCACAGUGGGGCUGGUUCUGGAGACAAGGGUGAGGGCAGAGAGCAGGAGAACGAACCCUGCCUCUUGCCAAUGCUAGUACUGGGUGGCCUAACUGGAUCAGUGAGGGAGAGCUGGCCAUGGUCACAUAAGGGAGAAACCGCAGGAUGACCAGCUUAGCUAACACCCAGGUCCAGAUCCAGGGCUUUGAGUUGGCCCAUCCCAAAAUCUACAUCAUCUGUGAACCAGUGGGGUGUGUGAAAAGGCCAGUCCUACUGAUCCAACGCUGCAGGAUCUCCAUGACACAGGGCAACAACAAGAUAACUGGGAGGAUCCAGUAUUGAUGGUGUCCUAGAAGCCAGAGACCAUGAACCAGACCAAUGACUCAUUGCAAUGAACAGUCACAAGUGAAGAUGUGUGGACAGAGGGAUGUAUUGUGGGACACACUGUGACAUACUACAGCUUCCACCAUGAGAUGUUUUCUAUGCUUUGUUUUGUUUAUUUUUAAUUUGUCUCUGUGUUUUUUAUUUGGAAGGAGGUUGCAAGGGUGGAGGGCAGAAAUGAGGAGAUGGGGAGAUGAGUGCAUGAUGGGAAACUCCCAAGGAAUCAAUCAAAAGUUUAAAAAGUAGAAUAGACACAGGGUUUGCACUCACCAGCCCGUAUUUUCGUCUUGUAGCCACUUAGCUGCUUAUCUUGCUCUUUCUGUAGAAGCAACCCAGAUUUUAAAUUCUUCUAGAGACUGCAUAGCCUGCGACACCCUCAUUUUCAGCAUCUAGUUGCUCUCGAACUUUAGUUUCUUGAACAGAAAUGAACUUACGUACCAUGUAAGUGAGCUGCCCACUCUCCUUCAUGUCCAGUGGCACCCGAUCUAAAAAAAGGGGACGGCAGCUGCUCUGAUUAAGAACCUGCUCCGAGAAGGAAUGGAGAACUCCUGUACUCACCAGCAUGUGUUUUGGACACCAUCAGACCAUUUAUGAGUCCCGAAACUUCUAAGAUGCCA